This 496-nucleotide ribosomal RNA is filed under the name uncultured bacterium. RNAcentral's name for it is "partial 16S ribosomal RNA". It matches the Rfam family "Bacterial small subunit ribosomal RNA", at positions 28 to 506 of the family's 1533-position model. The record is from RNAcentral.
GAUGAACGCUGGUGGCGUGCCUAAUACAUGCAAGUCGAGCGAACAGACGAGGAGCUUGCUCCUCUGACGUUAGCGGCGGACGGGUGAGUAACACGUGGAUAACCUACCUAUAAGACUGGGAUAACUUCGGGAAACCGGAGCUAAUACCGGAUAAUAUAUUGAACCGCAUGGUUCAAUAGUGAAAGACGGUUUUGCUGUCACUUAUAGAUGGAUCCGCGCCGCAUUAGCUAGUUGGUAAGGUAACGGCUUACCAAGGCAACGAUGCGUAGCCGACCUGAGAGGGGGAUCGGCCACACUGGAACUGGGACACGGUCCAGCCUCCUACGGGGGGCAGCAGUAGGGAAUCUUCCGCAAUGGGCGAAAGCCUGACGGAGCAACGCCGCGUGAGUGAUGAAGGUCUUCGGUUCGUAAAACUCUGUUAUUAGGGAAGAACAAAUGUGUAAGUAACUAUGCACGUCUUGACGGUACCUAAGCAGAAAGCCACGGCUAACUACGU